This 226-nucleotide unclassified non-coding RNA is filed under the name Glomus sp. Its description in RNAcentral is "partial contains 5.8S ribosomal RNA and internal transcribed spacer 2". The stretch from base 1 to 71 matches the Rfam family "5.8S ribosomal RNA", at positions 84 to 154 of the family's 154-position model. Lineage: Eukaryota; Fungi; Glomeromycota; Glomeromycetes; Glomerales; Glomeraceae. The record is from RNAcentral.
GUGAAUCAUCAAAUCUUUGAACGCAUAUUGCACUCUCUGGUAUUCCGGAGAGUAUGCCUGUUUCGGGGUCAGUUUAAAUAAAAACCACUUAGUUGCUGUUUCUCGGUGAUAUUCGUCGGAAAUUGGGUCAUCUUAAACUUUUGGGAUUUUUAAGCGGCUUAACAUUUUCUUUACGAUUGCACGAACGUUUCUAAGAUUUUAUUUCUUAUAUACGAUUAAGGUAUCG